GAUGAACGCUGGCGGCGUGCUUAACACAUGCAAGUCGAACGAUGAAGCCCAGCUUGCUGGGUGGAUUAGUGGCGAACGGGUGAGUAACACGUGAGUAACCUGCCCUUAACUCUGGGAUAAGCCUGGGAAACUGGGUCUAAUAUCGGAUAGGAGCGUCCACCGCAUGGUGGGGGUUGGGAAGAUUUUUCGGUGUUGGAGGGACUCGCGCCCUAUCAGCUUGUUGGUGGGGUAAUGUCUCACCAAGGCGACGACGGGUAGCCGGCCGGGGAGGGUGACCGGCCACACGGGAACGGAGACACGGCCCAGACUCCUACGGGAGGCAGAAGUGGGGAAUAUUGCACAAUGGGCGCAAGCCUGAUGCAGCGACGCCGCGUGGGGGAGGACGGCCUUCGGGUGGUAAACCUCUUUCAGUAGGAAGGAAGCGAAAGGGACGGUACCUGCAGAAGAAGCACCGGCUAACUACGU
Molecule: ribosomal RNA, 465 nt
Filed under: uncultured bacterium
Lineage: Bacteria
Description: partial 16S ribosomal RNA
Rfam family: Bacterial small subunit ribosomal RNA
Source: RNAcentral